RNAcentral lists this transfer RNA (72 nucleotides) under Marmota monax (woodchuck). Its description in RNAcentral is "tRNA.Ala". The record is from RNAcentral. Lineage: Eukaryota; Metazoa; Chordata; Mammalia; Rodentia; Sciuridae.
GGGGUUGAGGCUCAGAGGGUAGAGUACUCACUUAGCAUGUGUAAGGCCCUGGGUUCGAUCCUCAGCACCACA